Molecule: long non-coding RNA, 334 nt
Organism: Spinacia oleracea (spinach)
Lineage: Eukaryota; Viridiplantae; Streptophyta; Magnoliopsida; Caryophyllales; Amaranthaceae
Exons: 2
Source: RefSeq, a predicted model, not a curated record
AGGUGUUAAAAAUUGACAAUGCAAAUGAGCUAUCAAAUUUUUGUUCCAGAAGAGUAUAGCUUACAGCCAUGUCAGAAGGCUUUACUGUAUUAAGUGUGCUAAAUGUGCUGAAGGAUGUGUCUGGCAGCAGUUCUUUGAAAACAAGCACUUCAAUAUAAGUUGUUCAAUUCCUUUAAUGUAAACAAAUGGUAGAAGUGUGCAUAAUAUUACAAUGUUAAUGUACGGUAUAAAUAAUUAUUUUGUUGUAGUAUAUAUCAAUUUUGAACAAAUUCAUGUAAGACUCAUUUUUUCUUCUAUUUAUACAUUAGUAAUGAAUAGAUUUUCUUGUCGUUUA